UCAGUUUGAUUCUGACUGAAAAUUUAGCUGACUUGACUCAAUAUACAUGUAAGUUUAAGCAAACCCGCUAUCAAGUCCCAUCUAAAAGAUUUAAAUAAAUACAUCAAGAUUACUAGACGUAAGAGCGCCACAGUAAAUAAUACUACUAAUAUGCAAAAGCAAGAAUUGGAUAUCAAGAAAGAGUUGGCAAAACUCGUGCCAGCUGCCGCGGUUAGACGAUAAACUCAAGCUAAUUAGUUCAUGAUUAAACACAUGGUGUUCUAAACAGUAAAUAAGGUCUAAUUUUAACAACUUAUGUUUCAUAUACAUCAAACCUUUGUGAAAGCAUAUACAAAAACACGGAUUAGAUACCCGUCUAUUUAUGCCCUAAAUAUAAUCGAAAAAUACGAACAAUAGUUUAAAAGUCAAAGAUUUUGGCGGUGUCUUAUCAAACCAGGGGAACCUGUCCCAUAAUUCGAUAGUCCACGACAACCUAACUCUUCCUAGACAUCAGCAUGUGUACUGCCGUCGUAUGCACACCUCUAAAAGACAGUAUGCAAUAAUGAUACUCUCAUAUACGUCAGGUCAAAGUGCAGCUAAUGGAAUAGUGGUGAUGGGUUACAAUCUUAACAGUGAUACGAAUUAUAGACUUAAAAUCUAUAUAAAGGUGGACUUGAAUGUAAUAAAUAUCCUAAGUAUUAAUGAAUGUGAAUCUAAGACAUGCACACAUCGCCCGUCACUCUCACCUAAAGGUGAGAUAAGUCGUAACAAAGUAGGUGUAACGGAAGUUGCACCUGU
RNAcentral lists this non-coding RNA (777 nucleotides) under Dendrobaena tellermanica. Lineage: Eukaryota; Metazoa; Annelida; Clitellata; Crassiclitellata; Lumbricidae. The record is from RNAcentral.